RNAcentral lists this ribosomal RNA (503 nucleotides) under uncultured bacterium. Its description in RNAcentral is "bacterial SSU rRNA". It matches the Rfam family "Bacterial small subunit ribosomal RNA", at positions 8 to 526 of the family's 1533-position model. The record is from RNAcentral.
AGAGUUUGAUCAUGGCUCAGAUUGAACGCUGGCGGCGUGCUUAACACAUGCAAGUCGAACGAUGAUGCCAGCUUGCUGGUGGAUUAGUGGCGAACGGGUGAGUAACACGUGGGCAAUCUGCCCUGCACUCUGGGACAAGCCCUGGAAACGGGGUCUAAUACCGGAUAUGACCGUCUGCCGCAUGGUGGAUGGUGUAAAGCUCCGGCGGUGCAGGAUGAGCCCGCGGCCUAUCAGCUUGUUGGUGAGGUAGUGGCUCACCAAGGCGACGACGGGUAGCCGGCCUGAGAGGGCGACCGGCCACACUGGGACUGAGACACGGCCCAGACUCCUACGGGAGGCAGCAGUGGGGAAUAUUGCACAAUGGGCGAAAGCCUGAUGCAGCGACGCCGCGUGGGGGAUGACGGCCUUCGGGUUGUAAACCCCUUUCAGUAGGGAAGAAGCGAAAGUGACGGUACCUGCAGAAGAAGCGCCGGCUAACUACGUGCCAGCCGCCGCGGUAAUUC